UUAAUUAAUUAAUUUUCAGGGAAGACACCACAGAAGGAAAGUUCUCAUGAAGAAGGGAAAGACAUGGAAAUAGAGGAGGAACCUCGCGAUGAGAAAGGUGCGGACAAAUUUAAGGAUGGAACGAAAGAUAUCGACGUGUGUUCUGAAGACGGACCUGAAGAGACAUCGGAAGAAAUAAUUUUGCAUAUUGAAGACCAACACCAACAUAAAGGGAAAGAUACAGCAUCUUCAAAGGAUAUACAUGGCGAUAAGAAAGGUAUGACAAUAACAG
Gossypium arboreum is the source of this 271-nucleotide long non-coding RNA. RefSeq lists it as uncharacterized. The transcript is spliced from 7 exons. Lineage: Eukaryota; Viridiplantae; Streptophyta; Magnoliopsida; Malvales; Malvaceae. The record is from RefSeq and is a predicted model, not a curated record.